UACGUAGGGGGCGAGCGUUGUCCGGAAUUAUUGGGCGUAAAGGGUGCGUCGGCGGUCUAUUAAGUCUGGUGUGAAAGCCCACAGCUUAACUGUGGAGGGUCAUUGGAAACUGGUAGACUUGAGUGUAAUAGAGGUGAGUGGAAUUCCACGUGUAGCGGUGAAAUGCGUAGAGAUGUGGAGGAACACCAGUGGCGAAGGCGACUCACUGGAUUAUUACUGACGCUGAGGCACGAAAGCGUGGGGAGCAAAUAGG
This 253-nucleotide ribosomal RNA is filed under the name uncultured bacterium. RNAcentral describes it as "partial 16S ribosomal RNA". It matches the Rfam family "Bacterial small subunit ribosomal RNA", at positions 524 to 776 of the family's 1533-position model. The record is from RNAcentral.